Molecule: non-coding RNA, 138 nt
Organism: Ornithorhynchus anatinus (platypus)
Lineage: Eukaryota; Metazoa; Chordata; Mammalia; Monotremata; Ornithorhynchidae
Source: Rfam
CCCCUCUCAGGGUCACACCUGGGGAGUUUCCAGUAUUCUACAAGUCUUGGUUAUGGGAGGGAGAGUCAAGCCGAGGCAUACCCAUUCCAUUCCUAGCUUGGGCAGUGGCUAGCGAGUGGAAGGCAAUCUGCUACAAGG